CGUGGAUAUCCUUGCACCCCCUGGCUCAUGACUCCUUACCGUAAUCCCAGGCCAGGACCACAGACGGCAUUUAACUCCGCGCUUACUGCCACUAGGCAGCUGGUGGAGCGCACAAUUGGGGUCCUUAAAGGGCGGUUUCGUGUGCUCCACCGCACUGGUGGCGACAUCAUGUAUUCGCCGGAGAUGGCAAGUAAAAUAGUGGUCCUGUGCGCUAUACUCCACAAUAUCGCGGUAAGGAGUAGCGUAGUGCUUCCUCAGACAGAGGAAUUGCCUGAUGAGGAGCCAGGGGUUGUCCGACACUUCGGUGGGGGGAGUGUUACAAGGAGGGGGAGCCAAGUCAGGGCAAGCAUUGUUGCUGAAUUUUUCAGCUGAAAGACCACACAAACUGAGGACGACCACAACGGCAAGCACCACAUGAUGCACCAGCUCAGCACCCUUCCCCUUCUCACUCCCCCUCCACUUCCCAGUCCCCCUCCCCUUCUCACUCCCCCUCCCCUUCUCACUCCCCCUCCCCUUCUCACUCCCCCUCAGCUUCCCAAUCCCCCUCAGCUUCCCAAUCACCCUCAGCUUCACAAUCCACCUCAGCUUCCCAGUCACCCUCAGCUUCCCAGGCCCCCUCAGCUUCCCAGGCCCACUCCACUUUCCACUCCCCUUCUCAGCCAACCUCUCCUUCUCUUUCUGUGACCCCUUCUCCUCCUUCCCAUACCCCUUCUCCUUCUACUUCGAACUCACCUUCUCAGCCCCCCUCACCCUCUAUUGGCCUAACAUUUUCACCGCCCCCCUCGCCCUCUCAAUCAGACCCACCCUCUGAAAUUACAUCCCCAAUCCAACCUCCUUCCCCCAUCCAGCCUCCUUCCCCCAUCCAGCCUCCUUCCCCCAUCCAGCCUCCUUCCCCAAUCCCUCCUCCUUCCCCCAUCCAGCCGCCUUCCCCCAUCCAGCCGCCAUCCCCACCCAGUGAAUGGGCAGAGGAAGCCCCUGAAGACAGUUCAGGGAGUCUUCAUGUUGCCGAGGAAAAUGUUGCAGUUGGAGAUCCUACAAGUUUUGGAGGCAUUCUUUACACCAUGCGCCAACACCUGCAAGGAUUAAUGCAUUGUGUUGACAAUUUGCAAAAAUUUGCAUGAUUUUGUUUAUUUUAAGAAAAAAAAAAAGAUUUAUUUUAAAAAAUAAAAUAAAAAAAGUUGAUUAAAGUUAA
Pseudophryne corroboree (corroboree frog) is the source of this 1192-nucleotide long non-coding RNA. RefSeq lists it as uncharacterized. The transcript has 4 exons. NCBI's taxonomy places the organism in Eukaryota, Metazoa, Chordata, Amphibia, Anura, Myobatrachidae. The record is from RefSeq and is a predicted model, not a curated record.